RNAcentral lists this ribosomal RNA (506 nucleotides) under uncultured bacterium. Its description in RNAcentral is "partial 16S ribosomal RNA". It matches the Rfam family "Bacterial small subunit ribosomal RNA", at positions 29 to 523 of the family's 1533-position model. The record is from RNAcentral.
AGUGAACGCUGGCGGUAGGCCUAACACAUGCAAGUCGAACGGCAGCACAGGAGAGCUUGCUCUCUGGGUGGCGAGUGGCGGACGGGUGAGGAAUACAUCGGAAUCUACUCUGUCGUGGGGGAUAACGUAGGGAAACUUACGCUAAUACCGCAUACGACCUACGGGUGAAAGCAGGGGAUCUUCGGACCUUGCGCGAUUGAAUGAGCCGAUGUCGGAUUAGCUAGUUGGCGGGGUAAAGGCCCACCAAGGCGACGAUCCGUAGCUGGUCUGAGAGGAUGAUCAGCCACACUGGAACUGAGACACGGUCCAGACUCCUACGGGAGGCAGCAGUGGGGAAUAUCGGACAAUGGGCGCAAGCCUGAUCCAGCCAUUCCGCGUGGGUGAAGAAGGCCUUCGGGUUGUAAAGCCCUUUUGUUGGGAAAGAAAUCCAGCUGGCUAAUACCCGGUUGGGAUGACGGUACCCAAAGAAUAAGCACCGGCUAACUUCGUGCCAGCCGCCGCGGUAA